UCACCCAAAGUCUGUAGAGUAAUGAGGUCUCGUAAUAGAGGGGUUUUGGCAGCUCUUGGAAUAACAAUGAAAAAUAAAAAUGACAGAUAGGUGUCCGAAGCUCCUACACGAUGUUGUGUAGUUGUAUGUGUACGGUUGUUUUGGAGGCUGCUUCAGCUGCUCGUGUAAACAUGAUUUUGUUUCAAGACAUCCUACGGUUAAUUGUUGUAGAUUUUAUUUUAAAACGAAAUCUUUUAAUAGUGUGAUUAUCGUGUAAUACAAUGCGCAAUGGAAAUUUAUGGAAUAGUGCAUAUAUUCCCCACAUUUUAACGUUGCAACGACUGUCGCCAAAACUACGAGCGCUGAAAUUUGCUCAGUAAACAAUUCACCAAUACAUAGCCAAGGACGUCUAACUGUCAAAAUGAAAAUCCAAGAUGGCAAUGUCAACAAAGCCUAAUCCGCGACCUCAUUACUCUACAGACUUUGGUCUCACCCAUUUCCUACCUUGUUUGACCUAUACUUGGUGACGUGCACGGUGCUAAAGUAUAGCCUUCUCAAUCGUCAAAUAUGUCGCUAUCUCAUUCCACAUGCUGUAUGUACACGAACAGUACAUAUUCGAUUGCCUUUGUGUUUGUGUGUACAAAUUAUUUUGACAGCACUGGCCUUCAUAUUUUGUUUUGUUGUGGAUCAGACCAGAUAUAUUUUCAUUUGAGACCAUUGAAAGCAUAAAUAUUGCUUUCAAUCCGAACGAUCAUCAAUUUUCUAAGCGACAUGAUCAGCUUGAAAGAGAAUUAGAUCAAAUUAUCGAAGAGGAUUGGAGAAUUUUGGGCCUACUUUGUAUGAGGCCGGUGGUGCUGAAAGUUUCUCUUGUCCGCUUAUACACUUCGAUACUGCUGCUUCUAAUACAACUAACGUUGGUGGCGGAAAUACAGAUUACAACAGUUUGGUACAUUGCGAUGGUCGUGUUCAUGUAACCCCGACUCUAAACGCUUAGCAAUUGUCGCGUUUGCGAACGCGAAUCAGAAAAAUUUUGUGAAACUCCAUAUAAAAAAAAUUGUGAAAAGUCGCUAUACGUGUAUUUUCAGCGAAAAAUCGCGAUUCGAAGCGCGACUUGACGCCAUGACAGUUUUCUGUAAAACAAGGUAAACAUGGCAAUACCAAGAUAAACUAAUACAAAUUAAAAAAUUAAAUAUUUUGAGUGUUAUUAAAUAUUGUAAAUUAAAUUAACAAAUCGAGUGCUAUUUAUUUUUUAAAAGUACGCAGGAUUUGUAUAUAAUUAUUGUGAAUGUCAAUAUUAUUUUUAAAACAGAAGAAUCGUUGUUAAUUCAAAACAAAAAUCCCAUAUCGUGGACAAAUGCUUCAGAAAUUAGAAGAAGAAGAAGACAAAUGCAUGGCUGCAUUGUUUAUGAAUUUAUUACUUGUAUGUUGAACUUGCUUGAACAAUAAAAAUUAAUUAAUAAUUAAUUAGUAAUUAAUUAAAUUAAUUAAUUAGCAAAAAUAUUAGAGUUAAAAAAAAUAGAGUUAAAAAAUAUUAGAUAGUCCACAGCACAGUGUUCGAUCCCUUUUGGAAGCUGUGUUGUGGAAUCGUGGUUAUGAAUACCUGUAUAUUGAUGGUAGUUUGGAAGCUGUGUUGGAAUCGUGGUUAUGAAAACCUGUAUAUUGAGGGUACGGUGACGGUCAUGAAAUGAGAAAAAAGCCAUACACGUUUGAUUACCCGUAUUCGAAGAUUUUUACCUUCAUGCUACUCGAAGCUGCCGAUCCCAAUUCUAUUUUGCCCGGUGUAUGACACGGUAGGCAAACACAUCUUCGUUCACCUAUUUAUCUUGUUACAAUUCUUUCUGGCUACCGGAAAAAAUUAUAACAAGAUUUUCCAGCGUUAAACACACAAGAAAACAAAACGGACCAAUCUGCGGUACUGUUAGCAACAGCCGUUAUUUGUAUCACAGGAGUUAGCAGCAUCCUGCCACGAGCUUUCUUGAUGGUCCAUUGUUUUGAAACAUCGUCACUGGGGUUAAAAAACUUGCCUUUCUCAUCAACUUCAUCAAAACAAUAAAUUUACUAUUUAUUAUAAUUUUCUU
Long non-coding RNA from Anopheles funestus (African malaria mosquito), 2057 nucleotides. RefSeq lists it as uncharacterized. The transcript is spliced from 2 exons. The record is from RefSeq and is a predicted model, not a curated record. NCBI's taxonomy places the organism in Eukaryota, Metazoa, Arthropoda, Insecta, Diptera, Culicidae.